UUCCUCGCUCUGAUUAGGGUAAAUUUCCCCAAACCCUAAGCUCACCCUCCAAAAGCUUUUUAUAUUUUUAAUUUUUUAAUUCUUUUUCCUGUCCGUCUUUCGAUCUUUCGGCGGCGCGUGGGGUCAAUUGGAGGCGCGUGUAGACCACAACCGUAGCCGAUUCAUGGUGGUUUAUCCGUCACCUGCAUUUGGAAACCCUCGCCGGAGAUCCACCGGAACCCUAGCGAAAGACACCGGUUCCGUACUUCCAUGGCGUCCGCCGUCUUAGCCAAUCGUAACGAACCCAAUUGGCCACAGCCCAGAGGCGGUGCCGGAGCCGGAUUCAUGGGAAAAGUUCCUUUUUCGAACCCAAACCCUAAGAACCCUAAAAGGCAAUUCCACUUCCAUACUCCCACGGGGGGUGAUUAUAACGGGUGUCAGAUCGACGAGUCGCCGGCCGUUACCCAAGCGGUGUCGGAUGACGCGUCGUCGAUCAACCGCCGGUCCAACGAAUUCAAUUUGGGGCAUUCCCAAUACGUGAGCUUCAACAUCGCAUCGUAUUCGAGGAAAGAGCUGAGCGAGCUCAAGAACCGUCUGAUCGCCGAGCUCGACCAGAUUCGACAAUUGAAAGGACGAAUCGAGGCCGGAGAUUUUCAACCCAGGCCGUUCCACAACCAUCCUUUGUCGAAGAAAUCAUCGAUGCAGAACAAGAAAAUCUCCGGUUCAAAGCGACCUUUACCACUCAAUCUGAAUCACGCUAAGGAUUCGAAUUCCAAGAGGUCGCAUUGGGACAGUCCCAAUUUGAUCAAGAAUUGCGGCCAGAUUUUGUCGAAGCUGAUGAAGCACAAGCACGCCUGGAUCUUCAACAAGCCUGUUGACGUGGUAGGUAUGGGGCUUCACGAUUACUACGACAUCAUUAAGCGACCGAUGGAUCUCGGAACCGUCAAAUCGAAUCUGGGCAAGAAUUUCUACUCUUCGCCUAUGGAUUUCGCCGACGAUGUGAGGUUGACCUUCACCAAUGCCAUGACUUAUAACCCUAAAGGCCACGAUGUUUAUGUUAUGGCCGAUCAGCUUCUUAUAAGGUUCGAGGAGCUUUUCAGGCCUGUGAACGAGAAAUUGGUGGAUGGAUCGCGGGCCGAACGGACUUACGACGAAGAUUUACAAGCGAGUUCUUGGAAUCAUGUGGAACCGGAAAGGCCGCCAAAGCAGCGAGACGAUUCUUUGCGGAUCGAGAAGAAAUCAGAGCCAAUUCGGGCCCCGGCAAGCUCUUCUAACCCGCCAUUGGUGCAAUCGCCGGUUCGGACGCCUACACCGAUGAGGGCUCCGCCGGUGAAACCGUUGAAGCAGCCGAAGCCCAAGGCCAAGGAUCCGAACAAGAGGGAGAUGAGUAUGGAGGAGAAACACAAAUUGGGUAUUGGGUUGCAGAGUUUGCCGCAGGAGAAGAUGGAACAGGUGGUGCAAAUCAUAAGGAAGAGGAAUGGCCAUUUGAAGCAGGAUGGGGAUGAGAUUGAGCUCGACAUUGAGGCCGUUGAUACAGAAACGUUGUGGGAGCUGGAUCGGCUUGUCACCAAUUGGAAGAAGAUGGUGAGCAAGAUUAAACGCCAAGCUCUCAUGGGAAAUAACAAUAUGGCUGCGAACAACAAAGGCAAUGGGGAAUUACCUUCAACCGAGAGGAAUGAAGCUGCAGUGGAACCGAAAAGGCCAAAGAAAGGGGAAGCAGGGGAUGAAGAUGUAGACAUAGGGGAUGACAUUCCGAUGAGCAGCUUCCCACCGGUGGAAAUCGAGAAGGAUGUUGGAGGAGGCCGUGCGAGUAGUAGUAGCUCAAGCAGCUCCAGCAGUUCGAGCAGUGGUUCCUCCUCAUCUAGUGAUUCAGAUUCUGGUAGUUCUUCUGGGAGUGAAUCCGAUGAUGAUAAUGCGCAAUCGUAGUGGACAAUGCGCAUUGAAUCGGAUAAGCAGGAUACCCAUGUGGAGAGCUUGCGGAAGAAAUUUUUUCCAACCGCGUGCUUUCCAUGAGGGAGAAAGCCUUUCAAGGUGAGGAGAUUUCUAACUCGGGGGAAAAAAAAAAAAAAAGCAAAGAAGAGACUCGGCAGAAAUGAUUUCUGAACUUGCAGUUGUUGGAGGAAUUGGGAUGGCGUUGGGGGUUUGGUAUUUCUGGAUGGUUGUUGUGUGCCUUCUGGAGGGUGUGCUACAAAAAUGUAAAGAGAACUUCGAAAAACCGAAAAAGGAAAGGAAAAAAAAAAUGUGUAGCUCAGAAGAAGGUUUAGACAAGUAGCGAAACAGUUAGAGAAGAAGGUGGUAGGAGAAAAAAUAGUGAGAUGAAUUAGAGGGCUGAGAACAUUGUGUAAACAUUUUACGACACUAAAUACAUAUAUUUUUUUCUCUCGUA
This is an RNA transcript of Ziziphus jujuba (common jujube), 2365 nucleotides long. It is a transcript of the gene named transcription factor GTE7, with no coding region annotated. The transcript is spliced from 4 exons. NCBI's taxonomy places the organism in Eukaryota, Viridiplantae, Streptophyta, Magnoliopsida, Rosales, Rhamnaceae. The record is from RefSeq and is a predicted model, not a curated record.